GGGCUUGUAGCCUCAGUUGGUUAGAGCGCGCGCUUGAUAAGCGUGAGGUCGGAGGUUCAAGUCCUCCCAGGCCCACCA
This 78-nucleotide transfer RNA is filed under the name Mesorhizobium sp. Leb-2. RNAcentral describes it as "tRNA-Ile". It matches the Rfam family "tRNA". From Rfam's summary of the family: Transfer RNA (tRNA) molecules are approximately 80 nucleotides in length. Their secondary structure includes four short double-helical elements and three loops (D, anti-codon, and T loops). Further hydrogen bonds mediate the characteristic L-shaped molecular structure. tRNAs have two regions of fundamental functional importance: the anti-codon, which is responsible for specific mRNA codon recognition, and the 3' end, to which the tRNAs corresponding amino acid is attached (by aminoacyl-tRNA synthetases). tRNAs cope with the degeneracy of the genetic code in two manners: having more than one tRNA (with a specific anti-codon) for a particular amino acid; and 'wobble' base-pairing, i.e. permitting non-standard base-pairing at the 3rd anti-codon position. Lineage: Bacteria; Pseudomonadati; Pseudomonadota; Alphaproteobacteria; Hyphomicrobiales; Phyllobacteriaceae. The record is from RNAcentral.